RNAcentral lists this ribosomal RNA (460 nucleotides) under uncultured bacterium. Its description in RNAcentral is "partial 16S ribosomal RNA". It matches the Rfam family "Bacterial small subunit ribosomal RNA", at positions 338 to 795 of the family's 1533-position model. The record is from RNAcentral.
CCUACGGGGUGCAGCAGUGAGGAAUAUUGGUCAAUGGCCGGAAGGCUGAACCAGCCAAGCCGCGUGAGGGAGGAAGGCGCAGAGCGUCGCAGACCUCUUUUGCCGGGGGACAAAAGGCCGGACGGGUCCGGUUCUGAGGGUACCCGGAGAAAAAGCAUCGGCUAACUCCGUGCCAGCAGCCGCGGUAAGACGGAGGAUGCGAGCGUUAUCCGGAUUUAUUGGGUUUAAAGGGGGCGCAGGCGGUCUGUUAAGUCAGCGGGCAAAGCCCGGGGCUCAACCCCCGCCCCGCCGUUGAACCUGGCAGUCUCGAGUUGGAGAGAAGUAUGCGGAAUGCGCGGUGUAGCGGUGAAAUGCAUAGAUAUCGCGCAGAACUCCGAUUGCGAAGGCAGCAUACCGGCGGCGAUCUGACACUGAGGCACGAAAGCGUGGGUAUCGAACAGGAUUAGAUACCCCGGUAGUC